AGAGUUUGAUCAUGGCUCAGGACGAACGCUGGCGGUGCGCCUUAUGCAUGCAAGUCGAGCGAAGCUUUUCAGUAGUUUACUACAGAAAAUGACUGAGCGGCGAACGGGUGAGUAACGCGUGAGCAACCUACCUUAGUUACUGGGAUAGCCCGAGGAAACUCGGAUUAAUACCGGAUAUUCUUAUUUAAUCACAUGAUUUUUUAAGGAAAGGUCAGCCGAACUAAGAUGGGCUCGCGUUCUAUCAGCUAGUUGGUAGGGUAAUGGCCUACCAAGGCUACGACGGAUAGCUGGUCUGAGAGGACGAUCAGCCACACUGGGACUGAGACACGGCCCAGACUCCUACGGGAGGCUGCAGCAGGGAAUAUUGCGCAAUGAGCGAAAGCUUGACGCAGCGACACCGCGUGUGGGAUGACGGAUCUAGGUUUGUAAACCACUUUCAGGAGGGAAGAAAAUGACGGUACCUCCACAAGAAGCCCCGGCCAACUACGUGCCAGCAGCCGCGGUAAUACGUAGGGGGCGAGCGUUGUCCGGAUUUAUUGGGCGUAAAGAGCUCGUAGGCGGUUCAACAAGUCGGUCGUGAAAGUUCAGGGCUCAACCCUGAAAUGUCGAUCGAUACUGUUGUGACUAGGAUACGGUAGAGGUGAGUGGAAUUCCGAGUGUAGCGGUGAAAUGCGUAGAUAUUCGGAGGAACACCAAUUGCGAAGGCAGCUCACUGGGCCGCUAUCGACGCUGA
This 733-nucleotide ribosomal RNA is filed under the name uncultured marine microorganism. RNAcentral's name for it is "bacterial SSU rRNA". It matches the Rfam family "Bacterial small subunit ribosomal RNA", at positions 8 to 749 of the family's 1533-position model. The record is from RNAcentral.